GGCUCAUGGUGGUUCAUAGCCAAGUGCUCCAAAAGGUGAAAACAGGGACUGACAGACCGGCUGCAUGUCUAGUCCUUACAAUAGAGACAGAGAAGCUACCAAACAGAGGAAGGGAAGGCUGUAGGUGAGCACCGAUGCUUAGAUGACAUACCCUGCAAACACGUCUCAGAGUAGCAACUGAGAAUCAUAGACUCACGAUUUGACAGCUGAGUUCCUAAUAAUGUCAUUUUGAGAGGUCCUGGGUGUUUCAGAGGCUGGGUGAAGUUGGCCACUGUUGUCAGGUCCUUGGGGUGUAUAUCCCUGGCUCCCUGCUUUCUGCUUCCUCAUCCACUACAAUAUGAACUGAACCCCUUUGCCAUGCCUUCCCCGAUGAUGGUUCUACACUCUGCAAAGGUGAACAAGCUGUAAUCGUUUGGAGAAGAAUGGCCCUUAUAAGCUCAUGUAUUUGAAUGUUGGUCCUCAGCUGGUAGAGCUAUUUGGGAAAGAUGAGGAGGUGGGGCCAUGUUGGAGGAGGUGAGUUGUGGAUUUAAGAAGCCCACUCUUUUUCUCAAUAUUUCUCCUGUCUCCUAUAAUUACUCUCAGCUACUGCUUCAGCUCCACAAAAACCUGCCUGUUGUCAUGCUCUCCACCAUGACAGUCAUGGACUCUAACCCUCUAGAACCCCGAGCACCGUAUUAAUGCUUUCUUUUAUAAGUUUUGUCACGGAAAUAGGAAAGUAAUAAGGUCACUACCUUUUCAAAGUUCUCCUUAAUUACUCAAGUUCCUCAUUUUUAAAAUGGAGAAACAAGAAACAAGUUGAGGCCACAAACAGGAUUUGAAAAUGGUAUGACUAUGGUGGCUACUCUGGGUUGUCAACUGAAGGGAACCUCAAAAGCUAGGCAACAAAAAACCUUUUCCAUUUAUAAGACAAUUGGUCUCAGGUAUUUGUUAUAGAAACAGAAGAUGACGAGCCUAGGACUGAACUUGUAAAGACACCAAAAGAGAAGAAAAUAAAGAAGAAAGGUGGGUGAAAGAGGCCUGGGUUCUGCCACUCACUACCAGACUCCAGGUAGACACAACCCUGACUCUACUUAGAGUAAGUCCAAAAGAAUGUAACUAAUUCAGGAUGUUCAAGUCACGAAACAGCAAGCCUCUCCCAGUCACUAACAGGGAAGUAGAGGUGUACAUGUGAUCAUUAUUUUCUCCAAGACAUCAAUUGUUAUUUUGUAUUCCAUCACCUUAUAUAACUCAGUCCCUCCCAUCAGUGCAGCUAAAAAAAGAAAAGGAAAUAAGUACACAACACAUCAGUUACUGGAAUCUGCACCUCCAUUUCUGAGCAAUAGAAACAGCUGAUGGCACAGAUAACUGUGAGGCCCCGCCUCUCUCUCCGGUUUCAGUUCCUGACCAGUUGAACUUUCUUUUAAUCAGAAUUACUUUCUUUAUCCGUAGUGAAAUGAUAGGUUUAUUAGAAUUACUCACAGGAGCUUGAGUGAAGGGGUUUCUUACUCAAAAUCAAAUGCAUCACAGAAAUGCACCACCCAACCAUGGGUGAUGACCCCCAAAGCUGAAUGACUCCCACCCCCAACUCCCCAGAUUCAUUCAUUCAGUUAAGAAAUUGUUGAAGGUGGGCAGUGGUGGUGCACACCUUUAACCCCAGCACUCGGGAGGCAGCAGCAGAUAGAUCUCUGUGAGUUCCAGGAUAGCCUGGUCCACAUAGUGAGUUCCAGGACAGCCAGGGCUGAACAGAGAAACUGUGUCUCAAAAACAAA
Molecule: long non-coding RNA, 1748 nt
Filed under: Cricetulus griseus (Chinese hamster)
Lineage: Eukaryota; Metazoa; Chordata; Mammalia; Rodentia; Cricetidae
Description: lncRNA (ENSCGRG00015038451.1)
Source: RNAcentral